RNAcentral lists this non-coding RNA (209 nucleotides) under Mesorhizobium sp. Lineage: Bacteria; Pseudomonadati; Pseudomonadota; Alphaproteobacteria; Hyphomicrobiales; Phyllobacteriaceae. The record is from RNAcentral.
AGCGUGCCCUCCGGAACUGGUUCCGCCGCGAGGCGGAUGAAAAGGGAACAUGGUGCGGCCGGCACAUCGGGCCAAAGCCAUGACUGCCCCCGCAACUGUAACCGUUGAGCCAUCUUCCAUGAUGCCACUGACCGCCGAUAGGGGUCGGGAAGGCGGAGGACCGGCGAGGAGACGGAAGUCAGGAGACCUGCCUGUUCCAGUCACCCAUG